Molecule: ribosomal RNA, 584 nt
Filed under: uncultured bacterium
Lineage: Bacteria
Description: bacterial SSU rRNA
Rfam family: Bacterial small subunit ribosomal RNA
Source: RNAcentral
CCAGACUCCUACGGGAGGCAGCAGUGAGGAAUCUUCCACAAUGGGCGAAAGCCUGAUGGAGCAACGCCGCGUGAAGGAUGAAGGCCUUCGGGUUGUAAACUUCUUUUAUAAGUGAGGAAUAUGACGGUAGCUUAUGAAUAAGGAUCGGCUAACUACGUGCCAGCAGCCGCGGUCAUACGUAGGAUCCGAGCGUUAUCCGGAGUGACUGGGCGUAAAGAGUUGCGUAGGCGGUUUGUUAAGUGAAUAGUGAAAUCUGGUGGCUCAACCAUACAGGCUAUUGUUCAAACUGUACAACUUGAGAGUGGUAGAGGUCACUGGAAUUUCUUGUGUAGGAGUGAAAUCCGUAGAUAUAAGAAGGAACACCAAUGGCGUAGGCAGGUGACUGGACCAUUUCUGACGCUAAGGCACGAAAGCGUGGGGAGCGAACCGGAUUAGAUACCCGGGUAGUCCACGCCGUAAACGAUGGAUACUGGCUGUUGGAGGUAUCGACCCCUUCAGUAGCGAAGCUAACGCGUUAAGUAUCCCGCCUGUGGAGUACGGCCGCAAGGCUAAAACAUAAAGGAAUUGACGGGGGCCCGCACAAG